GGGGAUGUAGCUCAGUGGUGGAGUACUUACCUCGUGUGUGUAAAGCCCUGGGUUCAAUCCCCAGCCCCCA
Molecule: transfer RNA, 70 nt
Filed under: Marmota marmota marmota (Alpine marmot)
Lineage: Eukaryota; Metazoa; Chordata; Mammalia; Rodentia; Sciuridae
Also listed under: 1 other name
Rfam family: tRNA
About the family: Transfer RNA (tRNA) molecules are approximately 80 nucleotides in length. Their secondary structure includes four short double-helical elements and three loops (D, anti-codon, and T loops). Further hydrogen bonds mediate the characteristic L-shaped molecular structure. tRNAs have two regions of fundamental functional importance: the anti-codon, which is responsible for specific mRNA codon recognition, and the 3' end, to which the tRNAs corresponding amino acid is attached (by aminoacyl-tRNA synthetases). tRNAs cope with the degeneracy of the genetic code in two manners: having more than one tRNA (with a specific anti-codon) for a particular amino acid; and 'wobble' base-pairing, i.e. permitting non-standard base-pairing at the 3rd anti-codon position.
Source: Rfam by way of RNAcentral